This 253-nucleotide ribosomal RNA is filed under the name uncultured bacterium. RNAcentral describes it as "partial 16S ribosomal RNA". It matches the Rfam family "Bacterial small subunit ribosomal RNA", at positions 524 to 776 of the family's 1533-position model. The record is from RNAcentral.
UACGUAGGGGGCGAGCGUUGUCCGGAAUUAUUGGGCGUAAAGGGCGUGUAGGCGGCCGAUCAAGUCAGGUGUGAAAUUCCAGGGCUCAACCCUGGACGUGCACUUGAAACUGGUUGGCUUGAGUGCAGAAGAGGAAAGUGGAAUUCCCAGUGUAGCGGUGAAAUGCGUAGAUAUUGGGAGGAACACCAGUGGCGAAGGCGACUUUCUGGUCUGUAACUGACGCUGAGGCGCGAAAGCGUGGGGAGCGAACAGG